AUACGUAGGGGGCGAGCGUUGUCCGGAAUGAUUGGGCGUAAAGGGCGCGUAGGCGGCCCGGUAAGUCUGGAGUGAAAGUCCUGUUUUUAAGAUGGGAAUUGCUUUGGAUACUGUCGGGCUUGAGUGCAGGAGAGGUAAGUGGAAUUCCCAGUGUAGCGGUGAAAUGCGUAGAGAUUGGGAGGAACACCAGUGGCGAAGGCGACUUACUGGACUGUAACUGACGUUGAGGCGCGAAAGUGUGGGGAGCAAACAGGAUUAGAUACCCUGGUAGUCCACACUGUAAACGAUGAAUGCUAGGUGUAGGGGGUAUCGACCCCUUCUGUGCCGCAGUCAACACAAUAAGCAUUCCGCCUGGGGAGUACGGCCGCAAGGUUGAAACUCAAAUGAAUUGACGGGG
Molecule: ribosomal RNA, 397 nt
Filed under: uncultured bacterium
Lineage: Bacteria
Description: partial 16S ribosomal RNA
Rfam family: Bacterial small subunit ribosomal RNA
Source: RNAcentral